GGCGCACGGGUGCGUAACGCGUAUGCAAUCUACCUUUUACAGAGGGAUAGCCCAGAGAAAUUUGGAUUAAUACCUCAUAGUAUAAUUGAAUGGCAUCAUUUAAUUAUUAAAGUCACAACGGUAAAAGAUGAGCAUGCGUCCCAUUAGCUAGUUGGUAAGGUAACGGCUUACCAAGGCUACGAUGGGUAGGGGUCCUGAGAGGGAGAUCCCCCACACUGGUACUGAGACACGGACCAGACUCCUACGGGAGGCAGCAGUGAGGAAUAUUGGACAAUGGGCGCAAGCCUGAUCCAGCCAUGCCGCGUGCAGGAUGACGGUCCUAUGGAUUGUAAACUGCUUUUGUACAGGAAGAAACACUGGUUCGUGAACCAGCUUGACGGUACUGUAAGAAUAAGGAUCGGCUAACUCCGUGCCAGCAGCCGCGGUAAUACGGAGGAUCCAAGCGUUAUCCGGAAUCAUUGGGUUUAAAGGGUCCGUAGGCGGUUUGGUAAAGUCAGUGGUGAAAGCCCAUCGCUCAACGGUGGAACGGCCAUUGAUACUGCUAGACUUGAAUUAUUAGGAAGUAACUAGAAUAUGUAGUGUAGCGGUGAAAUGCUUAGAGAUUACAUGGAAUACCAAUUGCGAAGGCAGGUUACUACUAAUAUAUUGACGCUGAUGGACGAAAGCGUGGGUAGCGAACAGGAUUAGAUACCCUGGUAGUCCACGCCGUAAACGAUGGAUACUAGCUGUUGGGCGCAAGUUCAGUGGCUAAGCGAAAGUGAUAAGUAUCCCACCUGGGGAGUACGUUCGCAAGAAUGAAACUCAAAGGAAUUGACGGGGGCCCGCACAAGCGGUGGAGCAUGUGGUUUAAUUCGAUGAUACGCGAGGAACCUUACCAAGGCUUAAAUGUAGAUUGACCGGUUUGGAAACAGACUUUUCGCAAGACAAUUUACAAGGUGCUGCAUGGUUGUCGUCAGCUCGUGCCGUGAGGUGUCAGGUUAAGUCCUAUAACGAGCGCAACCCCUGUUGUUAGUUGCCAGCGAGUCAUGUCGGGAACUCUAACAAGACUGCCAGUGCAAACUGUGAGGAAGGUGGGGAUGACGUCAAAUCAUCACGGCCCUUACGCCUUGGGC
RNAcentral lists this ribosomal RNA (1112 nucleotides) under Flavobacterium sp. Its description in RNAcentral is "bacterial SSU rRNA". It matches the Rfam family "Bacterial small subunit ribosomal RNA", at positions 97 to 1214 of the family's 1533-position model. Lineage: Bacteria; Pseudomonadati; Bacteroidota; Flavobacteriia; Flavobacteriales; Flavobacteriaceae. The record is from RNAcentral.